RNAcentral lists this ribosomal RNA (675 nucleotides) under Papillidiopsis complanata. Its description in RNAcentral is "eukaryotic LSU rRNA". It matches the Rfam family "Eukaryotic large subunit ribosomal RNA", at positions 81 to 755 of the family's 3401-position model. The record is from RNAcentral. Lineage: Eukaryota; Viridiplantae; Streptophyta; Bryopsida; Hypnales; Sematophyllaceae.
UUGUACGGCGAGCGAACCGGAAAGAGCCCAGCUUGAAAAUCGCGGCGCCUCGCGCCGCGAGUUGUGGUCUGGAGAAGGCUCCUCUGCGCCGCGCCGGGCCCAAGUUCCCUGGAAAGGGACGUCAUCGAGGGUGACAACCCCGUCCGCGCCCGGAACGCGUCGCUCCACGAGGACCUGUCGGCGAGUCGGGCUGUUUGGGAAUGCAGCCCUAAGCGGGAGGUAAAUUCCUUCCAAGGCUAAAUACGGGCAGGAGACCGAUAGCGAACAAGUACCGCGAGGGAAAGAUGAAAAGGACUUUGAAAAGAGAGUUAAAAAGUGCUUGAAAUUGCUGGGAGGGAAGCGAAUGGAAGCCGCGGGUGCGCCCCGGUUGGAUGCGGAACGGUUUGCAAAGGCUGGUCCGCCGCUCAACGCGGGGCGCUGGUCAGCGUGGGCCGUGNNNCCGGGACAAGAGCGGGGUGUGUUCCCCGCCGAUGCCGGCGCGGCGGCCGAGGCACGAAGCGCGCGCCUUUAGGCGUGGGGAAACCCGACUGCGCGCUCGGGACGCUGGCGUACUGGGCUCUCCAUCCGACCCGUCUUGAAACACGGACCAAGGAGUCUAACAUGCAUGCGAGCCGGUGGGCGGCAAACCCAUUGAGGCGCAAGGAACCUGACAGGUGGGACCCCGACCGCGAGGGA